AAAUGUAAAAUCGGGCCUCGCAAUUUCGUUAUCAGUGAACACCCCUAAAAAACACCAAAGCAAAAGACAAAGCAAUAAAUAAAAAGGAAACCAAAUAUCUAACCCAGUCAACCGCAACAGCUGGACACUAUAACUCCAUCGUCUCUUCACAUCACUUGUCCUAUCUGUUCAGACAAUAGCCAUUUCCAAGAUAUGUUCCUUACCUGCUAUAUGUUUUGCUUUUAUUUCUCCACGAAGCCUCCUCAAUAAGGGUUCCUCGACCAUCUUCCUUCCGGAGUAGAUCAAUUGUGAUCCGAAACUACUCUCAUCAGGUGCGAUUCUUCUCCCUUUUCUAAAGCUUCUUGUGCAAGUUUAUAGGCACAAACAUUUUCUAAUCUAUGAAUAAAUUGAAAAAUAAUUUCUUGAAAACGAGAUUUUUUUCUUUGAAAAUCCCUAAUAAUCACCCUAAUAACCGAUUUAUCUGGCUUUGCUGUUUGGCAUUUCUUGAUGACUGUUCAUGAAUCCCCCAUGAUUGUUACUGAGAGGAUACCCAUUGAGAUUCCUAACUUAAUGGCCUGUAAACCUGCAUAUGCCUCUGCCGCAAACGGAUAGGAAAUGUCGUUAUGUAGGGUUGUCUUCGAUGCUAGAAUCUCGCCCAUCAGACCUCGAACCACAGACCCGAAGCCGAUUUGGAAUUUUUUUGUCAAAAGCUGCAUCAAACUGAAUCGUCACCCUCGUGCUCCCUUCUCGUUUUCUGUGGCUUCUAUCCUCAUUUGAGGUAGUCUUCCUUUCUCCCAAACCAUAUAAUUCUGCCAUAUACAUAUGUAUUCUCUGUGAUAAUUCCCUUCCCAUCGUGUUCUUUCCCUCAUGUACUAGCUGAUUCCUUGAACUCCAGAUUGACCAUAAAGCACAGCAAAAAAGUCGGCACUGUUUACAAGAACCCCUCUUGAAAACCUAGAUAAGCCACUCCCAAAAGUUUUGAUUCGUAUUAUUUAUGACCCAAUAGAGGUUUAAAUAAAUAAAUGGGGUAAGCUAUAUAGCUUAGUAAGUUGGUAUGUAAAUAAUAAAUAAUUUGUUAACAUGCUUUUACCAAUCUUCACAAUAUGUUCUCAAUAUAAUACAAUUAUAAUUGCACAUAGUUCCAAUAUUUAUUCAUGUUCACGUCAAGUUGUCUACUCGAGUCAUAGUCACUGAAUUAUUUAUGUCUUGUGCUACGAAACUCAAAAUUAAGAUCCGCUUAUUUUUCUAAAACUAGACUCACAUAUCUUGUUAUCAUAAAAUUUUAAAAAAUUUUGGUUUUGCCAAUAAGUACAGUUAAUUCUUCAAAGUCGUCUUUGUUCUGCUGUUUGACAGUUCUGGCCUUUCUUCUCUAAAAAUUAAUUAUCUCUUAGUACGGAAUUCAGAUGAUGUUUCCGUUUAUUUAUCUUGAAAAUAGACUCAUUAAUAAUUCUAAUCAUAUAAAUUCUAACCCAUAAUUAUUUUUAUACAAAUUUUAAUGAUUUUCCAAAGUCAGAAUAGGAGAUUCCGAAAUUAUUCUAACCUUAUCUCACAAAAAUUUAAAUAUCUCAUAAUAUGAGAUUCUUUUGCUUACAUCGUUUCUUCUACGUGAAAUUAGACUCAAUAAGCUUUAAUUUAAUGUAUUAUUCAACCUCUAAUGUGAUUUCCACAAUUUUUUGAGUUUUCAAAGUUAUACAAUUGUUGUUGUUCAAAACUAUUUUAUUGCAAUUUUUAAUCUUUCAUGAUUUCUUUGUAUUAACAUUUAUUUCGACACACAUAACACCAAAGCAUAUCCAUAACUAGCCAUUCCAAUAGCUAAUCAUUAUCAUAUAUUCACAUGCCAUUCAUUGGCCAAUUUCACCUAUACAUCAACAACAAAGACUUAAACAUAUCAUGUCUCAAUUUAAUUUGGCCUAAAAGCCUCACACAUUCAUCAAUCAAAUUUACCACAUAUUUAUACCUCAUAAGUAUAGACCUAUAAUCACAAGGUCAUCACAAGAUCAUUCUCAUAAGUAUGACUUACUUAUUUACAUUCUUGCCAAAAUGUCCAAUAUACAUCGAGUUCAUUACUCAUGAAUUUUUCGUACAUACUUGUAUCCUUUCAACAUGAUCAUACAUUGUCUUUUCUUUGACAUAAUCUUUAAAUUACCCGUUGGACCACUUGGAACACUAAGUAUACUUGGGAAAGCUCAUACAUAAUGUAUCGUACCAAUGUCAUGUCCCAGACAUGGUCUUACAUAAAAAUCUCGUAUCGAUGCCAAUAGCCCAGCUAUGGUCUUACACGAAAUCUCAAAUUGAUGCCAAUAGCCUAGCUAUGGUCUUACACAGAAUCUCAAAUCGAUGCCAAUAGCCUAGCUAUGGUCUUACACGAAAUCACACCUCGGAAGUUCUAAUAUCAUGACAUCAAUAUCCAAUACAUUUACUAAGGUUCAUUCGGAGCUUUCGACUUCGUAAUUAAAUCAAUUCAUGUACGAAACAAGUCAUCCAAUGCUCAAAUCAAUUCGACAAUAUAUAUCCAUAUACGAAUCAAAUUCGGCAAUGUAUAUCUACAUACAAAUUAAUUUGGCAAUGUAUAUCCAUAUACAAAUCAAAUUCGGCAAUGUAUAACCAUAUACAAAUCAAAUUCGGCAAUGUAUAUCUAUAAACAAUUCAAAUUCGGCAAUGUAUAUCUAUAUGCAAAUCAAAUUCGACAAUGUAUAUCUAUAAAAAAUUCAAAUUUGCCAAUGUAUAUCUAUAUACAAAUCAAAUUCGGCAAUGUAUAAAACAUAUAUAUUUAAAUUCAAAAUUAUUUAUUUACUUAUGAACUUACCUCAUAUGGAAACGAAUCGAUCGGAUCAACUACUCGUCAACUUUCGAUUUCUCUUGAUCUAAAUCUAAUUUUUUUUCUUUCUUGAUCUAUAUGAAUUCAAAUUUAACUCAUUUAAUCACAUAUUCAUUCAAUUUCAUCUAAAAAUACCUAUUUGGACAUUUUAGCACUUUAGCCCUUAAAGUUUCACAUUUAUUAAAUUUAAUUCCUAUUUCACAAAUACACAAAAUUCACACAAUUUAAUAUAACCUAAGCUUAGCCGAAUUACUAUAGUGCCCCUAGCAGCCCAAAAAUUUCAUUAUUUCACAUUUUAACCACUCAAUUUGCAUAUUUCAUAAUUUAAUCCCUAUUUGACAUUUUUGUCAAAAAUCACUUUACAAAACAUAUUAAUCUAUCAACAAUUAUUCAUUUUUCAUCAUCAACAUUUAAAAACAUCAAGCUAUCAUCAAUGGAAACUCACAAAUUCAUCAACCAAUUCAAAAAUUAGGGCAUGGGCUAGCUAGAGCACAAAGCAACGAUCUCAAAAACAUAGAAAUAUUUAAAAAUGGGACAAAAUAUCUUACCAAUCAAGCAAAAUAAGCAUGACCGAACCCUAGCUAUGGUUUUUCCAUGUUAGAAUCGAUUGAAGUGUUUUUGUGAAGAAGAUGGACAUAUAAUUCUUAAGUUAUUUUAUCAUUAUUAAUUAUUUUACCUUUAUAACCUUAUAAAAUAUUACUAAUUUCAAAAAUGUCAAUCCAACACAUUCCACUAUCACCAUUUAUGGUCUAAUUACCAUAUAAGAACUUAAACUUUAAUGUUGUAUAGCUAUUAGACACUUUUAGCUUAUAGAACACAACUUUUAUGCUUUACGCGAUUUAGUCUUUUUUAUCGAAUUAAGCAUUCAAACAAUAAAAUUUAUUUACGUAACUUUCACACAUAUAUAAUCACAUGCUGUAAAUACCAAAAAUAAUAUUAAAAUAAUUUUUCUCAUCGAGUUUGUGGUCUCGAAACCACUGUUCCGACUAGACCCAAAAUCGGGCUAUUACAAGUCUUUCAUAACCCAUCAAGCUUCGAACUUGCUAUAUCUUACAAUUCAACCAUUUGUCUUACCUUUUCGUAUUAAUUAGAAUAGGAUAAUGAUCGGAUAAAAAAUGCACAAGAUGUUGAAUUGUUACCUCACGAAACAUGGUCAUCCAUUCCUCGUUUGCCACUCCUCUAUCCAAUCGUUCUUGGAUGUUUGUUUUCGGCAAAUUGUCUCUCUCCCAUGUGAACCAAUUACUAAAAUACCCCACAUCCAUCAGGUGACAAUCUUCCAACACAUUUCGAAAAGUUUUCAUUCUUCUUUAAUCUCUAAGCAGCCCUCUCUUUUUCUCAAAGCCAUAUAUAAUUUCAUUAAAAUCUCCGCAUACAAACCAAGGAUACCCUCAUCGUUAUAUAGAUUAGUCAAAAGAGCCCAUGAGUCAUCUCUACCCUAUGCAUAAGGGGUUCCAUAAAAACCUGUGUAUCUUCAUUUAUUCCCUACUUCAGUAUAUUCAAUUAUCACAUCAAUAUGCCUUUUAGAAAAAUUCUAAAGCGUGAUAUUGACAUCAUUUCUCCAUGCCAAACACAACCCUCCUCUAGAACCAUCCGAAUCAACAUCAAUACCAUUAGCAUAACCAUAACUUCGUCGAACUCUUUCCAUCUGACUUCUACAAAACUUUGUCUCUAUAAAGAGGACCAUCUGGGGAUUAUAUAUCUUCAGCGAAUGCCGAAGUCUUCGAACUGUUCGUGGGCUCCCCAAUCCACAAACAUUCCAACUUAAAAUUUUUAUUACGUCCGGUUGGCUUGCCUCUUAGCAGUCGUUGAUGAUAAAUGGUUAAUUUCCAACAUUCUCCUAUUCCUUACUGCCAAAGUGUUGAUCUCUUCUCUGGCUGUUAAGUCUUCAAUCUCCUCCUAGCUCUAUUUUUCCCCUUCUUUCGAUUAAUACACCAUCUUCUAGAUCAUGAUCCAUUACAAUUUGAGCCAAACCUACCAAUGGAUUUUCCCCCCAUUGACAUGAAGAAGACAAACUCCCUUCCAAAUUAAAUCCCAAUACUAGAUCAAUAGCCUUCCUACACCCCGAUUUUUUUUUACGUUCUACAAAUUGUUUCCUUGUACUCGGCUACCCUCACGGUUUCCACCCAAUUCUCCCUCACUUUCCUCACGUAACCAGACACUGUUCAUUACUUGGGCUCUUUGAGAUUGUGCUCGCAACGAUAAAUCCCAACCUAUUUCAUCAAUUUCCACUCUUAACGCCAUUUUUGCUUCACAAAAAAAAUAACUAUGGCCCAAUCGACCACAGUAGAAAUAGAAGAAUGAUAGUCUUUCAUACUUAAAUCUGACAUAUGAUCAUUUUCCACAAAACAUAAUUUGCUUCUUCAUCUUCAAUGGAUGUCGUAUAUCAAUUUGGACUCUUAUUCUCAUAAAGUUUCGAUUUUCUUUCCCCAGAUUCGAACUGUCAUACUCCAUAAAUUCCCCUAUGAAAUUACCCAAUUGCAUUGCCAAGUUUUCAAAGAAAAAACCGAUAGGAACAUCAUGAAUCUGUACCAAAAAAUGUGUCAAAAUUAAAGAACUUUUAAUGGAUCCUUCCCCAUUGCAGCUUGUAUAACACCAACAAGUGGUUGUUAAAAGUCCAUGGUGACCCCUUCAAAACCCUUUCCAUAUCCCAUAACAUGAAAAAAUUGAAACAAAAACCUUUUCUCCCCCAUAUCCCGGAUUUGAACACCCCGAACAGGAUGCCAUAAAUUCACUAUAGUACUUUUCAUUGCUAGGAAGUGAAUAAUGCUAGUUGUUAGGAAACACCCCACUAGCCGAAAAGCCCCCGUCUCCCUUUUCGUAUUCGGCUCUAAUUGUACUUGUAAAACUGCUUAUUCUUCUUCAUUAAGCGUUAAUCCAGCAAAUUCAGUUUCCAUGAAUGCAGGCAGAAAUCCCAAACGUGGGUAUCAGUUUUCUAAAAGAAAAAAGAAGACUUAAGAGACGAUCGCCAUCGAACAAAACAGAAGACUAAAACAAAAAACCUAAAAACAUGCUAGAGAGAGCAGACAGUUGCAUGCUAGGGUAGCAGACUUUUUUUUUUUAUAUAAAAACAAUUAUUUAAGUCCAUGUGUUUAUCAAUAACUUAUCUAAUUUUCUAAUUUUCAUAAAGUAAGAUAAUCAUAUUUUAAAAAAAUAAAGUUAAAAUACUAAUGUUUCAAUUUUUAUAAAGUGGAAAAACAAAAUUAAGAUUUUACGAAUUCUCUUCAUUUGUCAUUAGAUACACUCAAAAACUCAUAGGUAACUUUUUAUUGUUUAAAUGUUAAAUAAAAUAACAAAAAUUACUAGAACACUAAUAAAAAUUCUAUAUAUUAAAAGGGAAAGUUAAGACUUAAGAGCAAAAAAAUUAUUAAUAUUUCAAAUUUUUAAAAAAUAUAAAAUAAUACAAAGAUAAAAUUAUACUUUAAAUUUUUUAUUUAUUUUUAACAUCUAAAAUGAUUUUCUAACUUUACCCUGGGUCACAUCCAUUUCUCAGAAUUAAUUAGAAAAAAUAUAUAUUAGGUUUCGUUCAUGUUUAUGGGUAGGGCAUAGGCAUUAUAGUAACAUGCUUUAUACUUACCCAAAGUUGACUCGAAAUGUGGUUUUAAAAUUUUGCUCAUAUUUAUAAAAAAACUAACUCAAACUCAUUUUAAGCUUACAUAUAUUGCUUUUAAAAAUUUAAAUAUAUGUUUGUUAUUUUUAAUUUAAUAUUUUAUAAUUUUAUAUAUAGUCAUCAUAACAUUUUUUAAUCUAUAUAUUAAAUUUAAUUUUCUUUGCUAUAAUUAUAUGAUCUAUAAAAUAACAUAAUAUAAAACAUUAUAAAUUUUAAAAAAAAGUUGAGUCAAGCUCAAACCUUAAAUAUUCAACCUUAAACCUGAUCCAUAUCUUAAACAGAUUUAUUUUCAAACUUAAUAUUAUCACUCAAGCUCUUUUAAAUUUAAAGGAACUUUCGUUUGGACAAAUAAAAAAACUAUCAACAAUUCUAUCAUUUAAGUUUCUUUUUUAUGACUUUUAAUCAUUUGAUACAUUAAAUACACUUUUAUUUUAUUUUAAUUAAUUCUACUUCUCUCUCUCCCAAUCUUUAUCAUCUUUCAUGUUUGCACGUGUCAUCUCUAUACGGGUUUUGUUCUCCCACCAUUGAAUUUAUCGAGCUCCCGCAUUAUAUUGUGGAGCCCAGUUUUGCUGUUUUCAAAGUGGCUUUUUCCUUUCAACAAGACAAUCCUAAUUUAUUCCGUUUCGAUUUGAAUUAGUUGCCCACUGCUUGCAGCCCAAGUCUGAUGUAUAUCCUCCACCAAAUUCUAAAUGAAACCAAAAUUCUGUCGAUUCGAUUUGCAUUCCAAUUAAUUUUAUUUUUAUUUAAUAUAUUUAAUUCAUAUAUUAAAACAUCAUAAAUUGAUAAUAUAGUACGAAUUAGAUUGAUGUUAUUUAAUUUGGUUUCGAUUAGAUUCUUAAAAAAAAUUAUUAUUAAAUUUUACUUUAACUAAAGGUAUGUUAAUUGAAAACCUCAAAUAAUAAAUAAUAAAAAUAUUACAAAAAAAACCUAAUUACAAGAACAUUGAUCAAAGAAUAUAAAACAAUAUCGUUUUUAUACAUAUAUGUAUAAAAUUAAUUAAAGCAAAAAUAAAAGGCAUAAUAACUUAUUUGGUUCUCCAAUUUUAUAAAAAAUUAUUUUAACCUUUUAUUUAUUUUUUUUUUGUCUCUUUUAGCUCUUAAACUUUUUUUUUGUCAAAUCACUCCAAAAGAAUGAAAAAAAUUCACUUUUUUAACUUUGAUGACAUGGCAAACAUGUGGAUGACAUGUCAGUAUUUAAUUAUUUUUUUAAAAUUUAAAAUUUAAAAUUUUUAUUUUGAAAAUAUUAAUAUAAUUUUUUUAUUAAAUAAUUUAUUAUUAUAUUUUUAAAAAUAUUUAUGUGUUAUUAUAUAUAUUAAAAAUUAUAUUAUUAUUUAUUGUCAACGAUAUUAUUUUAUUUUUAUAUAUUUUUAAAAUUUAUUAUUAUAUUUUUUGAAAAUAAUUAUGUAUUUUUAUAUAUUUCUUUGAAUUUUUUAAAAUUAGGAUCAAAUUGAGACCAUUUGUAAAUUUUAAGGGUUAAUUUUUUAAAAUUAUGACAAAACCAAUGUAAUAUGUAAAAGUUAAUGGUUAAAUUUGUUAUUAUACCUAUUUUUCAACUACUAUAUCAACCUCUUGUUGGUGCAAUUAAAGGAAAUGGACCAAAAAUAAUAAUCUCAAUUAAUUAGGUGACCAAAAUAAAAAAAUUAUAGUUGAGUGAUGAAUUUUAAAAAAUUCAUAAUUAAAUGACAAAAAAAUAACCCAUAAUUAACUGACCUGUGGUGUAAUUCAACCUUAUAAACAAAUUAAGUCCACCUCAAAUGAAUAGGAGGAAGCUGAUUGCAAAUAAUUUUGGAUCAUGUCUCAGCUCAACAUAUCAUGUACGUUGGUCUGUUGGGAUCAUCAAAUUGAGAAGACUAUGUCCAUUAGGUUGGGAUUGUUUUUUUUUUUUUUCGAUAAACAAAUAAAUAGUAAAACUUUCAAAAAAAAAAUCAUUUUAGGCAUAAAAGGAAAAUGCAAAAUAAGUAUGUUACAAAGAUUGUUGGUUUUUGGUUUCUUUUGUUAAAAUUGUAAAUGAGAAUUUUACCUGAUAUUCUAAUUAUUAUUUUUUAUUUUCCACCUUAAAUAUUAAUAUUCACCUCAUUGUUUUGCAUUCAAAUGAUUUAUUUUCAUUUUAGUCAAUAAAAAACCCUAAACCCUAACAUUUAGGGAACAUCUUGAAUGUUGAAUCUUUUGCAGCAAUGAAAAAUAGAAAUAAAAAAAGGGGAAACACAUGGAGAUUCCUUUAGCUCUAUCUUUCUAGCAAGGCAAUAGAGUGGAAUGUUGGAAUGAUGAGGGCUUCGACUUGUGGCUUUGGGUUUGGGGGCAGGGGGAGCCACCACUAUGGUGGGCAUGUGAAGGCAUCGGCAUCACUAGGCCCCUGUUUAAGCCUCCCCAACAAAACUUUUGUAAGAUUUUUUACACCACAUUUUUAACAUUGGCGAGAUUAAGAUGAAAUCCCAGCUUAAUUUCUCUAAUCAAGACUUUAGGGGGUAUUUUAUUUGGUUAGAUUCGCAACUGAAGACUACCCAAAUGCUGCAAAUUGUUUGGUUAAAGCAGAUGGCAUUUUAGUGAGUAAAAUGAAAAUAAAAAAUUUGAAUGCAAUAUAAUGAGGUGGAGAUUAAUAUCCAAGGUGGAAAUUUUAAAAAAUUAUUUUGAAUGUCAUGUAAGAUUUCUAUUUGCAAUUUUAAUGGGAGUGACUAAAAUGAAUAAAUUUUGUAACGUGAAUGUUCAUUUCACAAUUUUUUUGGGUGCCUAAAAUGAUUUUUUUUAAAUUAGGUAAUUAUCUGUGUAGUUUAUUUUUAUCAAUCGGAGUAUAUUAAAUAUUUUUUAUUUGAGGUAAAUUAGAUUAUUGGUUUAGGCGGAAGAUUUUUGUUGAUUUGAAAUUUUUGUUAACAUCAAUUUAGGAUUUCAACGACUCAAUCCUUUUAUUUUUUAUUUUAA
Molecule: long non-coding RNA, 9319 nt
Filed under: Gossypium barbadense (sea-island cotton)
Lineage: Eukaryota; Viridiplantae; Streptophyta; Magnoliopsida; Malvales; Malvaceae
Description: long non-coding RNA (GBAR_LNC023137)
Source: RNAcentral